AGUGAACGCUGGCGGUAGGCCUAACACAUGCAAGUCGAACGGCAGCACAGGAGAGCUUGCUCUCUGGGUGGCGAGUGGCGGACGGGUGAGGAAUACAUCGGAAUCUACUCUGUCGUGGGGGAUAACGUAGGGAAACUUACGCUAAUACCGCAUACGACCUACGGGUGAAAGCAGGGGACCUUCGGGCCUUGCGCGAUUGAAUGAGCCGAUGUCGGAUUAGCUAGUUGGCGGGGUAAAGGCCCACCAAGGCGACGAUCCGUACCUGGUCGGAGAGGAUGAUCAGCCACACUGGAACUGAGACACGGUCCAGACUCCUACGGGAGGCAGCAGUGGGGAAUAUUGAACAAUGGGCGCAAGCCUGAUCCAGCCAUACCGCGUGGGUGAAGAAGGCCUUCGGGUUGUAAAGCCCUUUUGAUGGGAAAGAAAUCCAGCUGGCUAAUACCCGGUUGGGAUGACGGUACCCAAAGAAUAAGCACCGGCUAACUUCGUGCCAGCCGCCGCGGUAA
Molecule: ribosomal RNA, 506 nt
Filed under: uncultured bacterium
Lineage: Bacteria
Description: partial 16S ribosomal RNA
Rfam family: Bacterial small subunit ribosomal RNA
Source: RNAcentral